RNAcentral lists this long non-coding RNA (686 nucleotides) under Androctonus crassicauda. The record is from RNAcentral. Lineage: Eukaryota; Metazoa; Arthropoda; Arachnida; Scorpiones; Buthidae.
CGUCAUAAGAAAAUGUUUAAUGUUUUUCGAAAAAAUAAACAUUUCAUCUUUUCUUAUUCAAAGAAUAUCUUACGGAAUAAAGCUAGAAAUUAAUAAUAUUUUCAAUAUAUAUUUUACAAAUGUAAUUUGCUACAUUCUGAUUACAUGAUGUAUGUUUAUAGUUACCAUUCUGUGUAGAAAAUUUUGGCCAGUUGAGGCUUUUCAAACUAUCUUGUGUGGCAGAACAGCAAUUACAAUAUUUUAUCCGUUGCACAAGGAUUGUAUAGAACUAUCGACUUGUCUCAAGAUACCAAGUAUAGUUAUAGCGCAUAAUACUUUCCUUAUUCCGUAUGACAUAACUUCUCUAGGUGUGUAUACUAUUAUGUAUUUUUUGGUUAGAAUGUAGACUACGAAUUGUGAUGCUAUUUCACAUUAUUGCUAUACUUCUAAAAACAUAUUUCCCGACAAAAUCACUGCAGGUCAGCAACUGAUGACUUGUAGGCUACCAUUUUGAGACGCAUUGGAUUAUAGUGCAAUACAUAGCUCAUAAAACAAGUCAAAAAAUCAGAUAAUAUAAUAUAAAAUUAUUUAUGUUUAAAACAUAUAAAACUGCCGACUAAUUGAAUUUUCUAAUUAAAUUGUUCUAAAAAAUAUGAUGAAUUUUAUAUAAAAAACAACAAAUUUUGUAUCUGAAAUCGAAUCCCGAC